This 424-nucleotide ribosomal RNA is filed under the name uncultured bacterium. RNAcentral's name for it is "bacterial SSU rRNA". It matches the Rfam family "Bacterial small subunit ribosomal RNA", at positions 917 to 1341 of the family's 1533-position model. The record is from RNAcentral.
GGGCCCGCACAAGCGGUGGAGCAUGUGGUUUAAUUCGAUGCAACGCGAAGAACCUUACCUACUCUUGACAUCCACAGAAGCCGGAAGAGAUUCUGGUGUGCCUUCGGGAACUGUGAGACAGGUGCUGCAUGGCUGUCGUCAGCUCGUGUUGUGAAAUGUUGGGUUAAGUCCCGCAACGAGCGCAACCCUUAUCCUUGUUUGCCAGCACUUCGGGUGGGAACUCCAGGGAGACUGCCGGUGAUAAACCGGAGGAAGGUGGGGACGACGUCAAGUCAUCAUGGCCCUUACGAGUAGGGCUACACACGUGCUACAAUGGCAUAUACAGAGGGCAGCGAGGCAGCGAUGUGAAGCGAAUCCCAGAAAGUAUGUCGUAGUCCGGAUUGGAGUCUGCAACUCGACUCCAUGAAGUCGGAAUCGCUAGUAA